UUCCCGUUGUGGGUGCCAUGACAGAGAAGACUGUCCAAGUUGCAUCAGACCAUAUGGAAAGUGACACCAUCCUGAAGAAUGUAGUUCUUUAACAGUGCCUGACAAAAACCAGGGGGACCACGAAAAAACUUGGGAACUCUAGACUUUGAAGUAAUACUUCAAUGACAGCCGAACUGAGACAUUUAACAGCUUCCUGAACAGACCUUUCUGUAUUCUGUACCAUACUAAAGAACUCCUUUGCUCUUGAAAGUUUUCUCAUGUAGGAGGCUAUUAAAGUUAUG
Long non-coding RNA from Lacerta agilis (Sand lizard), 281 nucleotides. RefSeq lists it as uncharacterized. The transcript is spliced from 3 exons. The record is from RefSeq and is a predicted model, not a curated record. Lineage: Eukaryota; Metazoa; Chordata; Lepidosauria; Squamata; Lacertidae.